This 891-nucleotide long non-coding RNA is filed under the name Apteryx owenii (little spotted kiwi). RNAcentral describes it as "lncRNA (ENSAOWG00000014777.1)". Lineage: Eukaryota; Metazoa; Chordata; Aves; Apterygiformes; Apterygidae. The record is from RNAcentral.
GGCAGCUAAGGGUUGGGGGGGGGGGGGUAAGGGAGGAGGGGUAUUCAUAAAAAAAAAAAAAACAAGAAAAACACCCACACACAGCACAAAUACCAUCAAACACAACUCACCUACUCACCUAGUGUUUUUUUCUAUCAUGCAUGUCUUCCUCCUGCAUUGAAAAAACACACCAUACCACUACAAGGCUGCAGACAGGCCUUCACAAGGUAAGUUACUACAUUUGAGAGCUACUUCAUGUUUUUAUGAGUCUUCUACCUCUGCAUGUAGCACCUCAAGAUUUCUGAUCCUCAGCAACGCUUUCUUCCCCUGGGCAGCGUAAGGCUUGGGGUAUAUCAAGGAAGGGAUGAAAGGUGAAAUAUCGAAUGUUCCUGAGCUUUUACUAUUGGUAAAGUGGUAGCUAGCCAGCCUUGCGUCAGCUGAGCGUGCUGCAGUGAGCGACGUCAAUAAUUCCCUCUAUUCCUCGGCUAGUCAAGAACGGCAGCCCCAGAUGCCUGAGUCAUUGCUUCAUGCAUCCUGCCUCGCUUCAGCACUUCCUCAUUUAAAGUAGGGACUCGUCGGAGUAGCACAUUUGACUCUCAGCAGUCUCAGGCAGGAUAUCAAGAGAAAUUCCACACAGGCCACACGAGGAGCCUUAUGGAGCCACCUCACUCCUGCACGAGUUAAGCAUUCCUGCGCGUACGCAGAAGGUGGCAGUCCAAUUCAGGCAGCUGGACACGGCCCGCGCAUGUCAACAGAUAGAGCUUUGUUUCAACAGAGGCAAAAGUCACAGCUGAAGUACCUGGUGAAUUUAGUGACACGGGACGAUUCCUAGCAACUGGGACGCCACAAAAAUGAGAUGGGAGAAUGCUUUCUGGAUGGUUGCCUGUUUACUGUUUGCAUCUCUACCCAGAG